GGGUUGUGAGGUUAAGCGACUAAGCGUACACGGUGGAUGCCCUGGCAGUCAGAGGCGAUGAAGGACGUGCUAAUCUGCGAUAAGCGUCGGUAAGGUGAUAUGAACCGUUAUAACCGGCGAUUUCCGAAUGGGGAAACCCAGUGUGAUUCGUCACACUAUCAUUAACUGAAUCCAUAGGUUAAUGAGGCGAACCGGGGGAACUGAAACAUCUAAGUACCCCGAGGAAAAGAAAUCAACCGAGAUUCCCCCAGUAGCGGCGAGCGAACGGGGAGCAGCCCAGAGCCUGAAUCAGUGUGUGUGUUAGUGGAAGCGUCUGGAAAGGCGCGCGAUACAGGGUGACAGCCCCGUACACAAAAAUGCACAUGCUGUGAGCUCGAUGAGUAGGGCGGGACACGUGGUAUCCUGUCUGAAUAUGGGGGGACCAUCCUCCAAGGCUAAAUACUCCUGACUGACCGAUAGUGAACCAGUACCGUGAGGGAAAGGCGAAAAGAACCCCGGCGAGGGGAGUGAAAAAGAACCUGAAACCGUGUACGUACAAGCAGUGGGAGCACGCUUAGGCGUGUGACUGCGUACCUUUUGUAUAAUGGGUCAGCGACUUAUAUUCUGUAGCAAGGUUAACCGAAUAGGGGAGCCGAAGGGAAACCGAGUCUUAACUGGGCGUUAAGUUGCAGGGUAUAGACCCGAAACCCGGUGAUCUAGCCAUGGGCAGGUUGAAGGUUGGGUAACACUAACUGGAGGACCGAACCGACUAAUGUUGAAAAAUUAGCGGAUGACUUGUGGCUGGGGGUGAAAGGCCAAUCAAACCGGGAGAUAGCUGGUUCUCCCCGAAAGCUAUUUAGGUAGCGCCUCGUGAAUUCAUCUCCGGGGGUAGAGCACUGUUUCGGCAAGGGGGUCAUCCCGACUUACCAACCCGAUGCAAACUGCGAAUACCGGAGAAUGUUAUCACGGGAGACACACGGCGGGUGCUAACGUCCGUCGUGAAGAGGGAAACAACCCAGACCGCCAGCUAAGGUCCCAAAGUCAUGGUUAAGUGGGAAACGAUGUGGGAAGGCCCAGACAGCCAGGAUGUUGGCUUAGAAGCAGCCAUCAUUUAAAGAAAGCGUAAUAGCUCACUGGUC
Molecule: ribosomal RNA, 1118 nt
Filed under: Escherichia coli
Lineage: Bacteria; Pseudomonadati; Pseudomonadota; Gammaproteobacteria; Enterobacterales; Enterobacteriaceae
Description: partial 23S ribosomal RNA
Rfam family: Bacterial large subunit ribosomal RNA
Source: RNAcentral